Molecule: ribosomal RNA, 720 nt
Filed under: Triticum aestivum (bread wheat)
Lineage: Eukaryota; Viridiplantae; Streptophyta; Magnoliopsida; Poales; Poaceae
Description: partial small subunit ribosomal RNA
Source: RNAcentral
AAUGCUACUCUCCGAGAACAAUAUCCAGCUCUGUACAAUAUUGUGCGUCACAAGGGCUAUACUAUUGCCAAUGUUUUGGAAUCAUUUCCGCCAAAUGUGACGUUCAGAAGGGAUUUAAUUGGACCUAGACUCCAAUCGUGGAACAUACUGCUCCAACGGUUAACCACGGUAUAGUUGUCACAAGGGUCUGAUGUCUUUCGUUGGAACCUACAUGGGAAUGGGCAGUUCUCAGUGGAGUCUAUGUAUAGAGCUUUGAUCCAGUCAGACGUGCCAGUUGAUAAUAAUAAGAAGAUCUGGAAGAUGAAGAUACCUCUUAAGAAUAAAAUCUUUGCGUGGUUUCUUCAUCGUGGAGUCAUUCUUACUAAAGAUAACCUUAUUAAGAGGAAUUGGCAUGGAAGUAUGCAGUGUGUUUUUUGUCUGUAUGAUGAGACAAUAAAACAUUUGUUCUUCCAUUGUAAAUUGGCUCGUUCUAUAUUGUUAGUCAUCCAGAUAGUUUCUAGCUUGUAUCAUUCGUGUAGUGUUGCUAAUAUAUUUGGCAACCGGUUACAUGGGGUUGAUCACAUGUUUAGAAUUCUUCUCAGGGUGGGAGCGCUUGCCGUGAUUUGGUCGUUUUGGCUGUGUAGAAAUGAUAAGGUUUUUAAUGAUAAAGUACUUCCCUUAUGCAGGUUAUCUACAGAUGUACCAGGACGCUUCGUUUAUGGUCCUCUCUACAGCGAGUAG